This 440-nucleotide ribosomal RNA is filed under the name uncultured bacterium. RNAcentral's name for it is "partial 16S ribosomal RNA". It matches the Rfam family "Bacterial small subunit ribosomal RNA", at positions 338 to 795 of the family's 1533-position model. The record is from RNAcentral.
CCUACGGGAGGCAGCAGUGGGGAAUAUUGCACAAUGGGGGAAACCCUGAUGCAGCGACGCCGCGUGAGCGAUGAAGUAUUUCGGUAUGUAAAGCUCUAUCAGCAGGGAAGAAACUGACGGUACCUGACUAAGAAGCCCCGGCUAACUACGUGCCAGCAGCCGCGGUAAGACGUAGGGGGCAAGCGUUAUCCGGAUUUCCUGGGGGUAAAGGGAGCGUAGGCGGUCCUGCAAGUCAGAGGUGAAAGCCCGGGGCUCAACCCCGGGACUGCAUUUGGAACUGUAAGGCUAGAGUGUAGGUGAGGCAGGCGGAAUUCCUAGUGUAGCGGUGAAAUGCGUAGAUAUUAGGAGGAACACCAGUGGCGAAGGCGGCCUGCUGGACGAUGACUGACGUUGAGGCUCGAAAGCGUGGGGAGCAAACAGGAUUAGAUACCCCGGUAGUC